Molecule: ribosomal RNA, 468 nt
Filed under: uncultured soil bacterium
Lineage: Bacteria
Description: bacterial SSU rRNA
Rfam family: Bacterial small subunit ribosomal RNA
Source: RNAcentral
AGGACGAACGCUGGCGGCGUGCUUAACACAUGCAAGUCGAGCGGUAAGGCCUUUCGGGGUACACGAGCGGCGAACGGGUGAGUAACACGUGGGUGAUCUGCCCUGCACUUCGGGAUAAGCCUGGGAAACUGGGUCUAAUACCGGAUAUGACCUCCUAUCGCAUGGUGGGUGGUGGAAAGAUUUAUCGGUGCAGGAUGGGCCCGCGGCCUAUCAGCUUGUUGGUGGGGUAAUGGCCUACCAAGGCGACGACGGGUAGCCGACCUGAGAGGGUGACCGGCCACACUGGGACUGAGACACGGCCCAGACUCCUACGGGAGGCAGCAGUGGGGAAUAUUGCACAAUGGGCGAAAGCCUGAUGCAGCGACGCCGCGUGAGGAUGACGGCCUUCGGGUGUAAACCUCUUUCAGCAGGACGAAGCGCAAGUGACGGUACUGCAGAAGAGCACGGCUAACACGUGCCAGCAGCCGC